This is a long non-coding RNA of Etheostoma cragini (Arkansas darter), 116 nucleotides long. RefSeq lists it as uncharacterized. NCBI's taxonomy places the organism in Eukaryota, Metazoa, Chordata, Actinopteri, Perciformes, Percidae. The record is from RefSeq and is a predicted model, not a curated record. The transcript has 4 exons.
AAAGUUAAUUAAAGUGUACCUACUGUUUGUUUCAACCUGGACUCUAUUUUCCUAUGGUUUAUGUCUAAGUGACUGAUGGGAACAACAAUCUUUAGCAGUGAUGCUACAUGUUAACA